UUCAGGCAAUGCUGCCGGUGUGACGUAUAAUCUAAUGGACGGGACGCUUCUUCAAACAGCAGCGAGUUAUUCACCUCCGUAGCUUUCGAGCACCUCGGUAUCUUACUAGCCAACAUAGACGAUAAAAUUGCAGAUCUUUAAAUGCUUUCGUUGUAUAUUAGCCACUGUGUUUUAAACACACUUGUCGUAUCUAUUAGCUAGUUACACCAUUGAAUUGAAUAUUUAUGUUGUUAGCUAGCUAGCUAGCUGGGUAAAUGAUCAGUAGUGCUAGUCUUGUCACUAACUAACUAGCUAACAUCCCAACCAUGAGCUCAGUAAACGACUCCCCACCUUCUGAAGAGGAGGUCUGCUGGACGGAGAAAGAAGCUCUGGGGCUGAACAUUGUCGUGAAAGAGGAGAAGGAAGAAGAGGAUGUCACAGUAAAACAAGAAACAGAGGUUGAGGCUGUUACAGUGAAAGAAGAAGAGAAAGAAGUUAAAUUGACAGAAGAUGAAGAUGCGUUCCGAGUGAAAGAGGAAGAGGAUGUUACAGUAAAAGAAGAAGAGGAGGAUGCCGUUUUUGGAUUGGGGGAGGUGACUGUCACAUUGGAAGAAGAGGAGAAAGGAGAUCUGAUUAACAACAGAGAGAGACCAGACUCUCACUCUGACAGACGGAAGAAGAGUCCUUCAGGGGAACCAGACCCAGAGACGCCCAAACCAGUGAGACGACACCACUGCUCCCAGUGUAAUUUGAGUUUUAAGUGGUUAUGGAAGCUGAAAGAGCAUGAGAGGACACACACAGGGGAGAAGCCACACCACUGCUCUCAGUGUGGAAAGAGUUUUACCCUGUUAGGGAACCUGAAAAAGCAUAAAGGAAUACACACAGGAGAAAAGCAUUUCCAAUGUUCCCAGUGUGGAAAGAGAUUUUCACGAUCACAGCACCUAAAAUCACAUGAGAGGACACACACAGGGGAUAAACCUCACCACUGCUCCCAGUGUGGAAAGAGUUUUACCCAGUUGGGGAGCCUGAAAAAGCAUAAAGGAAUACACACAGGAGAAAAACCUUUCCAAUGUUCCCAGUGUGGAAAGACAUUUUCAGGAUUGCAUCACCUAAAAUCACAUGAGAGGACACACACAGGGGAGAAGCCACACCAUUGUGCCCUGUGUGGAAAGGAUUUCACCCAGUUAGGGAACCUAAAAAAACAUCAGAUGAAACACACAGGAGAAAAGCCUUUCCAAUGUUCCCAGUGUGGGAAAAGAUUUUCACGGUCACAGGAACUAAAAUCACAUGAGAUGACACACACGGGGGAGAAACCACACCACUGCUCCCAGUGUGGGAAAAGUUUUACCCAGUUAGGGAGCCUGAACAAACAUAAGAGAAUACACACAGGAGAAAAGCCGUACCACUGCUCCCAGUGUGGAAAGAGUUUUACCCAGUUAGGGAACCUGAACAACCAUAAUAUAAUACACACAGAAGAAAAGCCGUUCCAAUGUUCCCACUGUGGAAAGAGAUUUUCACGAUCACAGGACCUAAAAUCACAUGAAAGGACACACACGGGGGAGAAACCACACCACUGCACCCAUUGUGGAAUGCGUUUUACCCAGUUAGGAAGCCUGAACAAACAUAAGAAGAGAAUACACUCUGGAGAGAAAUCUUAACAUACUUUCCUGGACAGAGGACCUGAAAUCACAUGACAGAAUAGAGGCGGUGUACUGACGGGAGAGACCAGACCCUCACUCUGACAGCAGGAAGAGUCCUUCAGGGGAACCAGACCCUCACUCUGACAGCAGGAAGAGUCCUUCAGGGGAACCAGACCCUCACUCUGACAGCAGGAAGAGUCCUUCAGGGGAACCAGACCCUCACUCUGACAGCAGGAAGAGUCCUUCAGGGGAACCAGACCCUCACUCUGACAGCAGGAAGAGUCCUUCAGGGGAACCAGACCCUCACUCUGACAGCAGGAAGAGUCCUUCAGGGGAACCAGACCGAGAGAUGCCCAAACCAACAGGACGACACCACUGUUCCCACUGUGGAAAGAAUUUUACUCAUUUACAGAGUCUGAAAAUGCACAAGAGAAUACAUACAGGAGAAAAGCCUUACCACUGUUCCCACUGUGGAAAGAGUUUUAGGUGGUCAGGGAGCCUGAAGGAGCAUGAGAGAAUACACACUGGAGAAAAGCCUUACCACUGUUCCCACUGUGGAAAGAGUUUUAGGUGGUCAGGGAGCCUGAAGGAGCAUGAGAGAAUACACACAGGAGAAAAGCCUUACCAAUGCUCCCAGUGUCAAAGGAGUUUUACCCGAUCAUGGAACCUGAAAAAGCAUGAGAGGACACACACAGGAGAAGCGUCUUUCCAACAUACUAACACACAGGAGGAGAAGACAUACCACUGCUCUCAGUGUGGAAAGACAUUUUCCCGGGCAGAGGACCUGAAAUCACAUGAGAGAAUAGAGAGACUGUGUUCUGACUUAAGUUUUUGAUUAAAAAAAUGUGUUUCUAUGACAAUGAAAUGAAAUGGCAUGCAUGAAAGUUUUUUUUUUUUAAUAGACCUACUUGAGAAAUUAAAUAAAAUUUGUUUUAAUAUUAA
This is an RNA transcript of Oncorhynchus tshawytscha (Chinook salmon), 2561 nucleotides long. It is a transcript of the gene named zinc finger protein OZF-like, with no coding region annotated. The record is from RefSeq and is a predicted model, not a curated record. The transcript is spliced from 3 exons. Lineage: Eukaryota; Metazoa; Chordata; Actinopteri; Salmoniformes; Salmonidae.